RNAcentral lists this ribosomal RNA (794 nucleotides) under Hyphomicrobiales bacterium. Its description in RNAcentral is "bacterial SSU rRNA". It matches the Rfam family "Bacterial small subunit ribosomal RNA", at positions 49 to 894 of the family's 1533-position model. Lineage: Bacteria; Pseudomonadati; Pseudomonadota; Alphaproteobacteria; Hyphomicrobiales. The record is from RNAcentral.
UUACCAUGCAGUCGAACGCUGUAGCAAUACAGAGUGGCAGACGGGUGCGUAACACGUGGGAACAUACCUUUUGGUUCGGAAUAACUUGGGGAAACUUAAGCUAAUACCGGAUAAGCCCUUCGGGGGAAAGAUUUAUUGCCGAAAGAUUGGCCCGCGUCUGAUUAGCUAGUUGGUGAGGUAAUGGCUCACCAAGGCGACGAUCAGUAGCUGGUCUGAGAGGAUGAUCAGCCACACUGGGACUGAGACACGGCCCAGACUCCUACGGGAGGCAGCAGUGGGGAAUAUUGGACAAUGGGCGCAAGCCUGAUCCAGCCAUGCCGCGUGAGUGAUGACGGCCUUAGGGUUGUAAAGCUCUUUUACCUGGGAAGAUAAUGACUGUACCAGGAGAAUAAGCCCCGGCUAACUUCGUGCCAGCAGCCGCGGUAAUACGAAGGGGGCUAGCGUUGUUCGGAAUCACUGGGCGUAAAGCGCACGUAGGCGGACUUUUAAGUCAGGGGUGAAAUCCUGAGGCUCAACCUCAGAACUGCCUUUGAUACUGGGAGUCUUGAAUUCGAGAGAGGUAAGUGGAAUUGGUAGUGUAGAGGUGAAAUUCGUAGAUAUUACCAGGAACACCAGUGGCGAAGGCGGCUUACUGGCUCGAUAUUGACGCUGAGGUGCGAAAGCGUGGGGAUCAAACAGGAUUAGAUACCCUGGUAGUCCACGCUGUAAACGAUGAAUGCUAGCCGUUGGACAGCUUGCUGUUCAGUGGCGCCGUUAACACAUUAAGCAUUCCGCCUGGGGAGUACGUCGCAGAU